This 808-nucleotide long non-coding RNA is filed under the name Apteryx rowi (Okarito brown kiwi). RNAcentral's name for it is "lncRNA (ENSARWG00000000675.1)". Lineage: Eukaryota; Metazoa; Chordata; Aves; Apterygiformes; Apterygidae. The record is from RNAcentral.
AUGUUCAAUAUGGGGGGGGGGGGGCCUUCACGGCUUAUUUUCUUGCUCUCCUACGGGAAACUCGCACCCAGCGUGAAAAACUGUCCCUUCACGGCUUAUCUUCUGGCCAUCCUCCGCCUCGCAGCCGCCCUGCGCAGCUGGGGGGGGGGAAAAGCCACUUGUCAGGAGGCCGCAGCGGGCGGUCGCACGGGCCAGCACCUGCCUCCUGCGCGCGCCGCCUCCCUCCACCCGGAGCAGCACGGCCUGCUGUGCUAUAAUAAUAACAAUAACAAUAAUAAUAAUAAUACCAGGGCAGCCCUGAGACACCGAGGCCUUGUAGCCGGCACCACCUCCGCUUUGACGCGCAGGAUGAGGCAGCCACGAUGCCACCAGACGUGCUUUGUCACCAGAACGUCCGUCUCCUUAGGCGUCAACUGCGCUGAUCGGGAACCCAGCGGCCUCGCGGGCAGAGCGCGGCUCCUGGGGCUCCAGCACGCCAGGCGGCGAGGGACAGGCCACCUCCCCUCUGUCCUCGCCUUCUCUGUGUGAAAGGAGCUAUCUAAAGGACGGAGCUCUCGGAGCGCCGGCAAGUCGAACACCUCACCCAGGAGAGGUUUUCAUGAGUUCUGGCCAUGGUCCGCUACACCACAAGACACCGAGUUCCCCACGUGCGAUCUAGCUGUUAGCACGCAUCCCUCGGGAGCGGGCACGAGCGAGCUGUAUCGUCACCGAGUGCUGCACUUCGGGGAGCGGCGACGGGAAGCAGAGGCCUGAAGCGUGCGGAGUUUUCUUCGUGUUUCACCGAGAACAUCUGCAGGCUGAUACCAUG